GACGAACGCUGGAGGCGUGCUUAACACAUGCAAGUCGAACGAUGAAGCCUUAGCUUGCUUUGGUGGAUUAGUGGCGAACGGGUGAGUAACACGUGAGCAACGUGCCCAGGACUCUGGAAUAACCGCGGGAAACCGUGGCUAAUACCGGAUAGGUGCCGAGGCCGCAUGGUCUUCGGUUGGAAAGUUUUUGCGGUUCUGGAUCGGCUCACGGCCUAUCAGCUUGUUGGUGGGGUAAUGGCCUACCAAGGCGACGACGGGUAGCCGGCCUGAGAGGGUGACCGGCCACACUGGGACUGAGACACGGCCCAGACUCCUACGGGAGGCAGCAGUGGGGAAUAUUGCACAAUGGGCGCAAGCCUGAUGCAGCAACGCCGCGUGGGGGAUGACGGCCUUCGGGUUGUAAACCUCUUUUAGUAGGGAAGAAGCGCAAGUGACGGUACCUGCAGAAAAAGCACCGGCUAACUACGUG
RNAcentral lists this ribosomal RNA (469 nucleotides) under uncultured bacterium. RNAcentral's name for it is "partial 16S ribosomal RNA". It matches the Rfam family "Bacterial small subunit ribosomal RNA", at positions 28 to 507 of the family's 1533-position model. The record is from RNAcentral.